UCCAGUCUCUUCCAUAUUGGCUUCAGAAUUGAACGGACAGUCGAAUCCAGUUGGAGUUCGAAAUCCGUGGCAAUCGAGAAUUCUAGAGUAAUCUAGUUUUCUCAAACCAACAAAGAUGAGAGCGAAGUGGCGUAAAAAGAGGAUGCGAAGGCUAAAGCGCAAAAGGAGGAAGAUGCGUGCGAGGUCCAAGUAAAUCUCCCGUUUCUCAUUCUCUGUGGCAUUAAUAUUGUGUAAGAAUAUUAAUAACUGACCAUCACCAUCAGUAUUGCAGAAUUUUAGCUCAGAGAAAUAUUUUAUAAAUAACUUAUCUUGUUUGGAUUAAUAAAUAAGAUUUUUCAAGAUAUA
Molecule: long non-coding RNA, 345 nt
Organism: Copidosoma floridanum
Lineage: Eukaryota; Metazoa; Arthropoda; Insecta; Hymenoptera; Encyrtidae
Source: RefSeq, a predicted model, not a curated record